RNAcentral lists this ribosomal RNA (254 nucleotides) under uncultured bacterium. RNAcentral's name for it is "partial 16S ribosomal RNA". It matches the Rfam family "Bacterial small subunit ribosomal RNA", at positions 524 to 776 of the family's 1533-position model. The record is from RNAcentral.
UACGUAGGGGCCUAGCGUUGUCCGGAUUUAUUGGGCGUAAAGAGCUCGUAGGCGGUUUGGUAAGUCGGGUGUGAAAUCUCCACGCUCAACGUGGAGGGGCCACCCGAUACUGCCAUGACUGGAGUCCGGUAGGGGAGUGUGGAAUUCCCGGUGUGGCGGUGAAAUGCGCAGAUAUCGGGAGGAACACCGGUGGCGAAGGCGGUUCUCUGGGCCUUACCUGACGCUGAGGAGCGAAAGCGUGGGGAGCGAACAGG